This 683-nucleotide ribosomal RNA is filed under the name Pisciola environmental sample. RNAcentral describes it as "LSU rRNA". It matches the Rfam family "Eukaryotic large subunit ribosomal RNA", at positions 646 to 1283 of the family's 3401-position model. Lineage: Eukaryota; Metazoa; Annelida; Clitellata; Hirudinida; Piscicolidae. The record is from RNAcentral.
GACCCGUCUUGAAACACGGACCAAGGAGUCUAACACGUGCGCGAGUCUCAGGGUCGUACGAAACCCGUUGGACGCAAUGAAAGUAAAAAUGGUCUUUACGGACUGUUUAGGUGAGAUCCCGGAACCGGCGACGGUAACGGGCGCACCACCGGCCCGUUUCAGCUGCUACGUCAGCGGGGCGGAGCAAGAGUGUACGCGUUGGGACCCGAAAGAUGGUGAACUAUGCCUGAGCAGGGUGAAGCCAGAGGAAACUCUGGUGGAGGCCCGAAGCGGUUCUGACGUGCAAAUCGAUCGUGUGACUUGGGUAUAGGGGCGAAAGACUAAUCGAACCAUCUAGUAGCUGGUUCCCGCCGAAGUUUCCCUCAGGAUAGCUGGCGCUCAUGUCGAAGUAGUUUUAUCCGGUAAAGCGAAUGAUUAGAGGAAUUGGGGACGAAAUGGCCUCAACCUAUUCUCAAACUUUAAAUGGGUAAGAAGUCCGACUCACUUGAUUGGAGCCGGACCCUUCUCUGAAUACGAGUGCCAAGUGGGCCACUUUUGGUAAGCAGAACUGGCGCUGCGGGAUGAACCGAACGUCUGGUUAAGGAGCCAAACACAUUGACGCUCAUGAGAUACCAUGAAAGGUGUUGGUUGAUAUAGACAGCAGGACGGUGGCCAUGGAAGUCGGAAUCCGCUAAGGAGUGUGU